CUCAGAAAAACAUUUAAAAACCAAAAUGAAGAACACAUACAGCAGUGAAUGUGAAGCAACAAAAAUCAAUAAGUGUCAUUCUGGGGGCCCACAACAUCCAGAAACAAGAAAAGACCUAGCAGGUAAUCCAUGUGAAGAGAGCCAAUCCACACUCAGAACAAUCUCCUAAAACCUUCUCCAAUGACAUCAUGCUGCUGCAGCAAGACUCUCUCUGGGGUGCAAAUGAUGGGCAGGCAGAACCAGUGGUGUGGAAAAUUCCAAAGCAGCAGUGAGAAUAAAAGCCAGCAAUUGGACAGUGGACUUGAACCUCUGAGAGCAGAGGCUUCUGCCCCUGCUCUCCCAUCCUUGGAUCCCAGAUCACCACCUCGGACCAUGGACCUCCACCUUGGACCCCAGACCUCCACCUCAGACCUUGGACGUCCGCCUUAGAGGGCAGUCACUUCUGCACCUGCCCUGAUUCCCUGGAAACUCAGACCUCCACCUAGAAUGAGACCACUUCUGUGCCUGUCCUCCCACCCUCAGAUCCUGGAUCUACACCUCGAACAGUGGUCACCUCUGUGCAUGUCCUCCCACAUUCGAGAACACUCCCAC
Cavia porcellus (domestic guinea pig) is the source of this 591-nucleotide long non-coding RNA. RefSeq lists it as uncharacterized. The transcript has 3 exons. Lineage: Eukaryota; Metazoa; Chordata; Mammalia; Rodentia; Caviidae. The record is from RefSeq and is a predicted model, not a curated record.